RNAcentral lists this ribosomal RNA (702 nucleotides) under Klebsiella pneumoniae. RNAcentral describes it as "partial 16S ribosomal RNA". The stretch from base 9 to 533 matches the Rfam family "Bacterial small subunit ribosomal RNA", at positions 30 to 543 of the family's 1533-position model. Lineage: Bacteria; Pseudomonadati; Pseudomonadota; Gammaproteobacteria; Enterobacterales; Enterobacteriaceae. The record is from RNAcentral.
AGAACGCUGAGACGCUGGCGGCAGGCCUACACAUGCAAGUCGAGCGGUAGCACAGAGAGCUUGCUCUCGGGUGACGAGCGGCGGACGGGUGAGUAAUGUCUGGGAAACUGCCUGAUGGAGGGGGAUAACUACUGGAAACGGUAGCUAAUACCGCAUAACGUCGCAAGACCAAAGUGGGGGACCUUCGGGCCUCAUGCCAUCAGAUGUGCCCAGAUGGGAUUAGCUAGUAGGUGGGGUAACGGCUCACCUAGGCGACGAUCCCUAGCUGGUCUGAGAGGAUGACCAGCCACACUGGAACUGAGACACGGUCCAGACUCCUACGGGAGGCAGCAGUGGGGAAUAUUGCACAAUGGGCGCAAGCCUGAUGCAGCCAUGCCGCGUGUGUGAAGAAGGCCUCCCGCUUGUAAAGCACUUUCAGCGGGGAGGAGGGCGAUAAGGGUAAUAACCCUUGUCGAUUGACCUUCCCCGCAAAGAAAACCCCCCGGCUUACUGCCGUGCCCCCGGGCGGGUUAAAAACGGGAGGGGGGGCAUUCUUUUAUUCGUAAAUGGGGUGGGACAAAAAGGCCCCCCCCGGCGGGGUCGGGGCCGAGGGGAAAAUUAAAAUGCGGUUUAACUUGGGGGGGGACUUUUUACCAAGGGGGGGGAGUUUUAUGGUUUUAGAGGGGGGAAAAAAAUCCCCGGGGGGGGGGGGACUUUGCAUUA